UCGUAACAAGGUUUCCGUAGGUGAACCUGCGGAAGGAUCAUUAACGCGCAGGCCGGAGGCCGGCCCCCCAGGAUAGGGCCAAACGUCCGUCAGGGGUGAGCAGAUGUGCGCCGGCCGUACCGCCCCAUUCUUGUCUACCUUACUCGGUUGCCUCGGCGGGCCGCGCUCUCCCAGGAGAGCCGUUCGGCGAGCCUCUCUUUAUAGCGGCUCAACGCUGGACCGCGCCCGCCGGAGGACAGACGCAAAAAAAAAUUCUUUCAGAAGAGCUGUCAGUCUGAGCGUUAGCAAGCAAAAAUCAGUUAAAACUUUCAACAACGGAUCUCUUGGUUCCGGCAUCGAUGAAGAACGCAGCGAAAUGCGAUAAGUAAUGUGAAUUGCAGAAUUCCGUGAAUCAUCGAAUCUUUGAACGCACAUUGCGCCCCCUGGCAUUCCGGGGGGCAUGCCUGUUCGAGCGUCAUUUCAGCCCCUCAAGCCCGGCUUGUGUGAUGGACGACCGUCCGGCGCCCCCGUCUCUGGGGGUGCGGGACGCGCCCGAAAAGCAGUGGCCAGGCCGCGAUUCCGGCUUUCUAGGCGAAUGGGCAACAAACCAGCGCCUCCAGGACCGGCCGCCCUGGCCUCAAAAUCUGUUUUAUACUUAUCAGGUUGACCUCGGAUCAGGUAGGGAUACCCGCUGAACUUAAGCAUAUCAAUAAGCGGAGGAA
This 701-nucleotide unclassified non-coding RNA is filed under the name Trichophyton tonsurans. Its description in RNAcentral is "sequence contains 18S rRNA gene, ITS1, 5.8S rRNA gene, ITS2, 28S rRNA gene". The stretch from base 304 to 457 matches the Rfam family "5.8S ribosomal RNA". The record is from RNAcentral. Lineage: Eukaryota; Fungi; Ascomycota; Eurotiomycetes; Onygenales; Arthrodermataceae.